Long non-coding RNA from Hyla sarda, 850 nucleotides. RefSeq lists it as uncharacterized. NCBI's taxonomy places the organism in Eukaryota, Metazoa, Chordata, Amphibia, Anura, Hylidae. The record is from RefSeq and is a predicted model, not a curated record. The transcript has 5 exons.
GGUUUUGAUAAAUCUCCCCCAAUGUCAUAAAAAAGUAACAUGGAGCCGCCCUAACUUGGUGUCCAAAGGAGCAGCUAACCCUGGUACAGAUGAUGUCUAACUCACAGCAUGAUUGUAUGUGGAUCAGCACUAUUACGGAUGAGCAGCAGAUUGCACAUUCAGGGACCAGUAUAGCAUGCAGAGGGGUGGAAUAUUCAUUGGUUCUAAAAUGAAGGCUGUGGAUCUGUACAGCACAGAUAAAGGCUGAGGUCAUCGGUGGCAAUUGCCUUUGGAGAUCAGUCGCAGCACGCCGGUUAUACACACAGGAUGACAGGAGGAGAUAAUAAUGGGAUCUGACAUUGUGAACUUCAUGGCUAUAAUCAGCAGCUGUCAUCAUUCCAGGGACAGAUAACACAGAUUUGCUUUGCCUAUAAUGUCUAAGCACAAGGUGUGUGCCGUAAAGAGCUUGUCUGGGAGCAGAAAAAGGACCUUUGUUUCCCCUGAGAAUAGACACUUGUAUCAUUGAGCACUGUCUUGUGUCGAGGCUCAGCUCUGUUCCCUUGAUCUACGGAACUGCAGUACCAAGUGAAGCCAAGAGUGGUGCUGUCCACUGGCUGAGCGGGCUGUCACUGCAGUGAAGAACUUGUCUUGGAAGUGGGAAGUAGCCAGAGCUUCGGAGGACAGGAUGACAUCACAGCAGGACCACUGAGGGACAGAGGACCAUCCAACCUAAUCAAGGCCGUGAUCAAAAUGCAAGAGUCAGCAUUUACCUUCCCGAGAUGUCAGCAAAUUAGCAAAUUUCUUGAUGCCGAAAUUGUGGAGCAUGAAAUGAUAGCGUUGUUCAGAUUCAUCAGUAUCCAGGCCGUGUAAC